Molecule: ribosomal RNA, 253 nt
Filed under: uncultured bacterium
Lineage: Bacteria
Description: partial 16S ribosomal RNA
Rfam family: Bacterial small subunit ribosomal RNA
Source: RNAcentral
UACGAAGGGGGCUAGCGUUGUUCGGAAUUACUGGGCGUAAAGCGCACGUAGGCGGGUUGUUAAGUCCGGGGUGAAAUCCUGGAGCUCAACUCCAGAACUGCCUUUGAUACUGGCAACCUAGAGACUGGAAGAGGUUAGUGGAAUUCCCAGUGUAGAGGUGAAAUUCGUAGAUAUUGGGAAGAACACCAGUGGCGAAGGCGGCUAACUGGUCCAGCACUGACGCUGAGGUGCGAAAGCGUGGGGAGCAAACAGG